Mustela lutreola (European mink) is the source of this 3854-nucleotide long non-coding RNA. RefSeq lists it as uncharacterized. NCBI's taxonomy places the organism in Eukaryota, Metazoa, Chordata, Mammalia, Carnivora, Mustelidae. The transcript has 2 exons. The record is from RefSeq and is a predicted model, not a curated record.
UAGUUCUUAAAUCAGCUCCAUUGUUGAAGCUCUCACUUUACAAUUAAAUUGGUUCUAGGUUUUCUAAUACCAUUUAUGCUAGAGUUCAGUUAAAAUUAAGCAUCAAGUAGGCUUUUGAGAGCUUACCGGGGAGAAUAAUCACAAGCUAUAAUUUUAUUUCUAAUAAGAAAUUAGUGUAUUGCACACUUAAAAAAUAUGAAACCAAGAUGUUUGUAAAUUAGGAACUAUCUUAGUUAAAGAAUUUUAUAAAUUAUAAAGCUCAUGUACAAAUGUUAAACAUGAGGGUGACCCAGUUUUGAUUUAGUGGUGGUCUUGGGUGUUGUGAUUGACUAGAAUUAUUUUCCUUCAGUCCUUACUGCUGCCUUGAGACCAUCCUGGAGCUCUCUACUAAGCCAAAGUGACAAACCUUAUAAAGUAGAGAAGGCUCUUCUUAAGGAACCACAGUUUUAAGAAGAUGGGAAAAGAAAGUUAACAUUUAUUGAGCAUCUACCAUGAGCCAAGUUGUUUAAUCAUUAUAGGAACUAUCAAGAGGAUAUUCCAAAUGAGGAUUUCACAGGAUUAAAUAAUUUUCCUUGUCUAGCAUCAAGUAAGUAGUGGAGAUAGUUUUUAAAAUAUAGGUAGUAAUUUUUCAUUUUAACUUUUAUUUAAAUAUAACAGAUACACCAAACAGUUUGGGAAUCAGAACUGUUCGUUGUUGAAUUUUCACAAAGUGAACACUCUGAAACCAGUCUCCAGGUCGGAAAAUGAAACAUCACCAGAAUCUCAGAAGCCGCCCAGAGCAUGCUAAUUAUCCUCCCCAGAGAGUGAUCUCUCCUGAUUUCCAGCACUUCUAACAUCAGAGUAGUUUAUAUUACAUCAGUUUUGACUGCUUUUGAACUUUAUAUAAACAGGAUCAUACAAUAUAUCCUGUUUUACGUCUGGCUUCUUUCAACUUUCCGUUUGGGCAGUUCAUUGAUAUUGUCACGUGCAGUUGUAGUUUGCUCAUUCUCAUUAUUGUAUAAUACUCCACUGUGCGAACAUACCUCAAUUUGCUUAUCCAUUUAACUGUUAAUGGCCAUUUGGAUAAUUUCCAAUAGCUACUUAGCUAUUACGAAUAGUACAGCUAUGAGCAUUAUUAUACACACAUGUCUUUUGGUGCACAAAUGUACGCAUUUCUGCUGAAUGUAUACUUAGGAGGGCAGUUGCUGUGUCAUAGGAUUUGUGUUAGGAAUUUUGAUUACUUUAUAUUCUUCUUAACUGCCAAACAGUUGUCCAAAAUUGGUUAUACCAAAUGUACACUCCAACCAGCAGCCUAUGGGAAUUCUGACAGUUCUCAUCCAUUCUAACAGAGGCAUUUUGAAACAAGGUUUCUGACUCUAAAACCCAAUGUUAUUUUCCUUUUAUCUAAAUUUUAUUUAAAGGUAAGAACUUGGUAACAAUUUUCUUUUAUGAAUUCCAUGAUUCUUUCUAAGAUUAUUAUUCUUUGUUCAUUUAGUGAGUUUCCUUUUUUAUACUGGAAAAUACAUCUGUGCUGAAUAGAAUUUAGCAGGGUCAGCAGUGUAUCGGAGGCCUCACGCAAGUAUUUAUCUUCAGUGAACCCAGCUUCUUCUAUUUUCUCUGCAUGGGUGAAAAGAAUGGCAGUGUAAUUCUUCCAAGCAUGUCCCAGAAGUUCCUGAAAGAAAGAAGAAGUUAAAUGGCUAUUUGACUUGGCCCAUAGUCCUCAAACACAAGCAAAGGAUAGUUUUUUAGAUAUAUAUUAGUUAUUAGACCUAUAUUAGACACAUAGACAGUCAACAGAUCUGGAUGUUAUGUUACUAAAAGCUGAUAUAUGUAAUGGGGAGUGAAGAUGGGGUCAAAUAAUGGAAAUAGAGAGAUGGGCAGAUUUUGUUUUAAAAAAAGGCUUUCUUCAUUUUAAUUUGCUCUUAUAAUUUAUGUAUAUACAACUUCAGAACUGCGUAUUAUUAAUGCUGCAUAUGAUACAAUUUCAUUUACAACAUUCAGCAAUAAUUUAUAUUUACCUGCCAACCUGAAGCUAUUAGAAUUACAGUUCCUUUAAGUCAAAGGACUUCGGCCAAGGGAAUUAUCCUAUCUUUUUUUGUAGGAAUGUUGUGUUAUUAUCAUAACUAAAAGUAUCUUCUGAGGAUUUAUAAUUACAUAAUCUGGUUACAAUCUAUUGACUAAUCCAAUGAUGUGUAAUGGAAAAGCUAAGAUCAAAUUACAUUUAGUAAUUUGGAACAACGACAAAACAUUACUGUGAUUCGAAUCCUCUUCACUUCACAUGCCAGAAUCAAGCCCAGUUUAUCAGAGGACUUCCUCUAAUGUGGUUGAAAAACAUUGAAGACUGGUAUUCCUUUGUUUCGUAAUGUGUGGAAGUUGGUUAUGGAAUAAAGUCUUGUUCUAUUAGUGAAAAUAAGCUGAUAUAAAAUGGAAGCAACAGAAUGUGGCAAAUUGUUCACACAAUGUGGAAGGUGUCUAGAAAUAAUCAUUUAACAUUUUUAAUAUUCCAAAAGUUAUAGGAAAUCAUGACAUUGUGGAAGUAAAAUGACAUUCCUUUCAUUUCAAAUAUUCUUGUUACCAAAAUAUUUUCAAAGGUGCUACCAGUUUAUAAUAGCAAUUUGGAGUUUAGACCCUCACCAUCAUCCUAAAUAGAAGAUUUAAAGUAUUUCAUUUUUGAGUUUUCAGAAAAAUAUGAAAUACUUAGGAAUAAAUACAACAAAUAUCCAGGACCUCUAGUAAUCAGAAGGAAGAAAGAAGGGAGAAUAACUAAUAUUUAGUGGUAGACACUAUGCUCAUCACUUUACACACUUUAUUCCUUUUGAAAUUAUGUUGAUAAUGCUUUGUGGGAGAUAAUACAAACUCGGGUUUAAAAAAUCUGAAAGACAGGUUGGGAAACUCUUGCCAAUGUAUAUAACAAAUGUAGGACUGGUAUUUAUAAAACUGAAAAACUGAAAAUGAAGAGAGAAAGAGGAAGAGAGAGAAAGGAAGGAGAGGAGGAAGAAUCUAGACAGGUAAGUAAUAUGGAAAUAUGGCAACUGUGGGACAAUAUAUUUAAAUUUAAACAUAUCUAGACCAUGGUUACCAAUUACGGUUCCUAAUACAGUUUGUCAUUUAUCAGAGCUAUGUAUUUAUGUAUUUAUCUCUGUGAGCUUUUGGAAGCUAGAAUCUAUGUCUUUCUUAUCAAAGCCUCACGUUGUAAUCUCUCAAUAGAAAGUGGUUGGACUAAUUAGGAGUUUGGAGCCUCACCAUCACCUCAAACAGAAGGCUUAGGGUUUUAUUUAUUUAUUUUGAGGCUUCAGUUUUGAAGUUUAAUCUUUGGGACAAAAAAUUUACCUUCCUGUAAAAUUUCUCUUGUGUUCUGUAGUUCCUGCUCAUGGAUUUGCAUGUAGUCUGUACUUUCUCUUUUGCAUUCAGACUCUCUCAAUGAUUAAGUCCAAAAUUUUUCCUCAUAUCUGUUUAAAAUUUGUCUGCACCAUAGAAUAAUUGUGUAUUUCUGGUUCUCCUAAAAGUGCCCUGACUGAAGAAAAUCUGAAUGGAAGUUUCAGGAUUAGUACAUUAAAUGAAUAAUUAUUUUUAAUAGAUUCUAUUACAAAAAGAACUUACAAAAUAACCUUACAGAAGAACCUUACAAAAGAACUUUUAAGAAGGUAUUUUAAUUGGUAUAUUCUUAUGUGCCCUCAAAACAUAAAUUAUUAAAAUUUAAAUUAGCCCAACUUUUAAGGAAGAUAGCUGUUUGUAAAUCUAAGUAUAUGUGUAAUGUCAACAUCACAUUUUAGCUAAUAGUGACAUAGCAACACUUGUCAUACUUAGUAUGUUGUAAUGUAUUUCUUGUGAAAAAGAUCAAAGAGUCGCAAAAUAAACAGGUAUUAUGGUUUGAA